UGUUCUCUGGCCUGGAAACUUAUCUUUGUUAUUUUCCUUCUUCCACUUCAUCCGUCGAUUCUGAAACCAAAUCUUUACCUGUCUCUCAGUUAAGCCGAGGGCAUGGGACACCUCAAUCCGUCGUUUGCGUGUCAGGGGUGUUCCUACAACCCAGACUAACUACCGAAAACCACGCUGUUGCCAGAUGAAUGGACCUCACUUUUCCACUGUGAAAGUGAUACAGGAGAUCUGGAUGGAAACAUCAAUUAAAAUAGAAAUUUAGGCUACUGGUGACUAAAGAUCACCAGUGUUUUGUUCCGAUAGUGUUUUAUUUAUUCGGAAAAGCUAAAUUUGAAUUCCAAAUGUUCAACGUGUUUUAACAAAGAAAAUAUGGUUAAAGAGAUUUAACAAACGA
Non-coding RNA from Paramormyrops kingsleyae, 394 nucleotides. NCBI's taxonomy places the organism in Eukaryota, Metazoa, Chordata, Actinopteri, Osteoglossiformes, Mormyridae. The record is from RefSeq and is a predicted model, not a curated record.